RNAcentral lists this ribosomal RNA (700 nucleotides) under uncultured bacterium. RNAcentral's name for it is "bacterial SSU rRNA". It matches the Rfam family "Bacterial small subunit ribosomal RNA", at positions 94 to 829 of the family's 1533-position model. The record is from RNAcentral.
AGUGGCGGACGGGUGAGUAACGCGUAAGAAUCUAACUUCAGGACGGGGACAACAGUGGGAAACGACUGCUAAUACCCGAUGUGCCGCGAGGUGAAACCUAAUUGGCCUGAAGAAGAGCUUGCGUCUGAUUAGCUAGUUGGUGGGGUAAGAGCCUACCAAGGCGACGAUCAGUAGCUGGUCUGAGAGGAUGAGCAGCCACACUGGGACUGAGACACGGCCCAGACUCCUACGGGAGGCAGCAGUGGGGAAUUUUCCGCAAUGGGCGAAAGCCUGACGGAGCAACGCCGCGUGAGGGAGGAAGGUCUUUGGAUUGUAAACCUCUUUUCUCAAGGAAGAAGUUCUGACGGUACUUGAGGAAUCAGCCUCGGCUAACUCCGUGCCAGCAGCCGCGGUAAUACGGGGGAGGCAAGCGUUAUCCGGAAUUAUUGGGCGUAAAGCGUCCGCAGGUGGUCAGCCAAGUCUGCCGUCAAAUCAGGUUGCUUAACGACCUAAAGGCGGUGGAAACUGGCAGACUAGAGAGCAGUAGGGGUAGCAGGAAUUCCCAGUGUAGCGGUGAAAUGCGUAGAGAUUGGGAAGAACAUCGGUGGCGAAAGCGUGCUACUGGGCUGUAUCUGACACUCAGGGACGAAAGCUAGGGGAGCGAAAGGGAUUAGAUACCCCUGUAGUCCUAGCCGUAACGAUGGAUACUAGGCGUGGCUUG